GCGGGAAUAGCUCAGUUGGUAGAGCGCAACCUUGCCAAGGUUGAAGUCGCGGGUUCGAGUCCCGUUUCCCGCUCCA
This 76-nucleotide transfer RNA is filed under the name Bacteroidota bacterium. Its description in RNAcentral is "Bacteroidetes bacterium tRNA-Gly". It matches the Rfam family "tRNA". Rfam says of the family: Transfer RNA (tRNA) molecules are approximately 80 nucleotides in length. Their secondary structure includes four short double-helical elements and three loops (D, anti-codon, and T loops). RNAcentral also lists the same sequence under 8 other names. Lineage: Bacteria; Pseudomonadati; Bacteroidota. The record is from RNAcentral.